RNAcentral lists this long non-coding RNA (295 nucleotides) under Phoenix dactylifera (date palm). Its description in RNAcentral is "long non-coding RNA (PDAC_LNC012798)". The record is from RNAcentral. Lineage: Eukaryota; Viridiplantae; Streptophyta; Magnoliopsida; Arecales; Arecaceae.
AUCAAGGUACUUAUAUGAUAACACCUUGCAAUUUUUCUAUUUGUGAUAAUUCGACCUGGGUAUUGGAUACCGGUAGUCCUUUUAAUAUUUGCAAUUCGUUGCAGGGGCUACAAGUCAGUGAGAGAUUUGAAGAAAGAGAAAGGUUCCUGGAUGUUGGAGAUGGAAGAUCAGUUCCAGUUCUAGCUUUAGGAAUUCUUAAACUUGAAUUUAGCUCUCAUGUAAAUGUCCUUAGUGAUUGUCACUAUUGUCCAAGUUUUUUAUUGAAUGUCAUUUCUGUAGGCCUUUUGGUUAAAAA